This 393-nucleotide unclassified non-coding RNA is filed under the name Hevea brasiliensis (rubber tree). The record is from RNAcentral. Lineage: Eukaryota; Viridiplantae; Streptophyta; Magnoliopsida; Malpighiales; Euphorbiaceae.
GAAGAUGUGAAAGUAUCAAGUGGGUUUUGGUAGAAAGUUGUGAACAAUGUAUGAAGAUGCUGCCACUUGUGUCAGGACACGCCAAGGAUCAGCUUUGCGGCAUUAUCUUGUGCUUUAGUCAUUGAUGAACUCAGAAUCACAGAAAAUACUUGUUUUUUUAUUUAAAUGAUCAUUUUUGUGCUGAAACCCAAUCAUAGGUUAACUAGGAGUAGGAGAAAUGGAGGACCGCCUUUCAAGUGUAGUGCUAGUACCAAAAUAGAAUAUAUAUACAUUGUAAUUUAGCAAAUGUAAUGCUAUGUGAGUGAAUUGGAUUAAAUUAGAUGUGGUAGAAGUUCUGCAAAGUGAUUUCUUAUGCAUGUUGGUUAUCUUACGCAAAGGAAUGGGAUGAAAAAG